This is a long non-coding RNA of Canis lupus familiaris (dog), 1950 nucleotides long. RefSeq lists it as uncharacterized. The transcript has 3 exons. The record is from RefSeq and is a predicted model, not a curated record. Lineage: Eukaryota; Metazoa; Chordata; Mammalia; Carnivora; Canidae.
GCUGGCACGAAGCUCCCUCAGCCCCUGACUGACUGCAUCUCUGGGGGUGGCCUUAGUGUUUAGGCUGUUGUGGACCCAUGGGGUCAGACGGCAUGUGCACCUUUGUGGGUUUUGGCAGCCGAGGGUAAAAGGACUUUAGGAAGACAGUGCCCAUUCCCCCACAGCAGCCCGUGUAGUGCUCAGAGGAGCCAAGCCUCUCAGACUCAUGCCUGCCAGAGGCCCAGGAGGAAUCCAACGUUCGGGUCAGCGGGACGAGCACGUGGCAGCGUUUAUGGACUAGCAGCUUGCAGUUGAUGCACCUGUAGCCCUGCCUUGCGAGACCCCAUAUCCUUUCGCUGCACUGGCCACAGUACGCUCUCUGCAGGCAAGAACACAGCCAUUAAGCCGAGGUCCUGUGUAUCCUCUGAUGCCCAUGCUACACUGGAGACCCUGCUACGCACUGGGGCUUGUUGCAUCUUGCAGUUGACUCCCUCAAAAGAUGACAGGGAUCUAGGACAAGAGGUGCCCUGAUCACUGGUCACAUCUGGACACCAGGCUCUGUCCAAGCUAAAGAGCUCCCACUGGGGUCCAUCCCAAGGUUGGGGGAACCAAGGACCCCAAGGAGGGGGCUGGGACUCCACUCAUGCAGGAGUGAUGAGACCCCUCCUGGGGCAAGGCCCCCCUGCUUCCAGGGGCUGGAGGGGGAUCGCAGCAGAGACCCCCCUAGGCUGAGACAGGCAGGGGUAUGUCCAGAUUCUCAUCCGUGUGACCAAAGAGACAGAGAAUCUGCCUGGCGUUUGUUGUGUCGAAACACUGAACUGCUAGGAGCAGUCUAUGAUUAUCUUGGGGUGGGUAUUUUUGUGGUAUUUUUACAAUCUUUGCUCUUCAAGGUUCUAAACAUCUGAAAUUAAUGAUAACUAUCAGCUUGUUUGAUGGUUUUCCUAAUUUUUAAAAAAGAUUUUAUUAAUUUAUUAGAAUGAGAGAGAGAGAGUGAAUAUGCGAGAGCAGGAGCAGGGGGAGGAGCAGACAGAGGGAGAAGCAGACUCCCCGCAGAGCAGGGAGCCUGACCUGGGACUCAAUCCCAGGACACCAGGAUCAUGACCUGAGCUGAAAGCAGACGCUUCACUGACUGAGCCCCCCAAACGCCCCAUUUUCCUAAUUUCUGACUGUUACAACAUGCGCGAAGAUGAAUGUGUUCAGAAAUCUGGUCACAUGCGGCAGCGGGUGCACCUGCAUGUCAGUAGCGCCGGGGUCCCGUGAGCAUCUUUUUUCCAGCCGUAAUCCUAUGCAUGUUUUAGCUGCCUUGUGCCAUGUUUAACAAAUUUCAUUCUUUUGAGAGAGUCUAAUUACUCCUGAGAACAAUAAAAAGGACCAUAACUGUUCUGAACAGAGUUCAUUUACAGCAGCUGUGGUGCGUGUGUGGGGGGCACAGACUGGCCACGUGUCUGGAGCUCACAGCCAUGGGCACCGAGAAGCUGAUUCCUCAUCCUUGAAGCGCCAAGCAGGGAAGCAGCGCCCAAGGAGGCUGGUCCCCACCACUGAGCUUCUGGUCUUGCAGUCAGGCCUGGGGCAGUGCCCGGCACACCGUGCGUACCCAAUACAUGUUCCUAACGUCAGCUGCUUGGGCCAAAAAGCUUGGGAGAAACCCCUGACCAGCAUCUACAGGAAAUGCUCAUGCCUGGGGGUUCCACUCUGACCUCGCCCUUGUGCCUCCACUCCCCCCCCACCCCCCGCCCAUCUAUGUCACUGGUGUCUCUUUUUCUAGGGUAGAGGUCUUCAUUUCUUCUCCAGAAACUCACUGGAUCUCUCCCUUUGAUUCACCAGUGGAACUUUUUCUCACUGUUCUAAAAGAAAAGUCCUGGGGAUCCCUGGGUGGCGCAGCGGUUUAGCGCCUGCCUUUGGCCCAGGGUGCGAUCCUGGAGACCUGGGAUCGAAUCCCACGUUGGGCUCCCGGUGCAUGGAGCCUGCUUC